This is a regulatory RNA element of Anaerobium acetethylicum, 118 nucleotides long. It matches the Rfam family "FMN riboswitch aptamer (RFN element)". From Rfam's summary of the family: The RFN element is a highly conserved domain that is found frequently in the 5'-untranslated regions of prokaryotic mRNAs that encode for flavin mononucleotide (FMN) biosynthesis and transport proteins. This element is a metabolite-dependent riboswitch that directly binds FMN in the absence of proteins. The record is from Rfam. Lineage: Bacteria; Bacillati; Bacillota; Clostridia; Lachnospirales; Lachnospiraceae.
GAAGUUCUUCGGGGCAGGGUGAAAUUCCCGACCGACGGUAUAGUCCGUGAGCUGCUUAGGCAGUUGAUUUGGUGAGAUUCCAAAACCGACAGUAAAGUCUGGAUGAGAGAAGAAAAAC